UGGGGAAUUUUGGACAAUGGGCGAAAGCCUGAUCCAGCAAUGCCGCGUGUGUGAAGAAGGCCUUCGGGUUGUAAAGCACUUUUGUCCGGAAAGAAAUCCUUGGCUCUAAUACAGUCGGGGGAUGACGGUACCGGAAGAAUAAGCACCGGCUAACUACGUGCCAGCAGCCGCGGUAAUACGUAGGGUGCAAGCGUUAAUCGGAAUUACUGGGCGUAAAGCGUGCGCAGGCGGUUUGCUAAGACCGAUGUGAAAUCCCCGGGCUCAACCUGGGAACUGCAUUGGUGACUGGCAGGCUAGAGUAUGGCAGAGGGGGGUAGAAUUCCACGUGUAGCAGUGAAAUGCGUAGAGAUGUGGAGGAAUACCGAUGGCGAAGGCAGCCCCCUGGGCCAAUACUGACGCUCAUGCACGAAAGCGUGGGGGAGCAAACAGGAUUAGAUACCCUGGUAGUCCACGCCCUAAACGAUGUCAACUAGUUGUUGGGGAUUCAUUUCCUUAGUAACGUAGCUAACGCGUGAAGUUGACCGCCUGGGGAGUACGGUCGCAAGAUUAAAACUCAAAUGAAUUGACGGGGUCAU
This 575-nucleotide ribosomal RNA is filed under the name uncultured bacterium. RNAcentral describes it as "partial 16S ribosomal RNA". It matches the Rfam family "Bacterial small subunit ribosomal RNA", at positions 355 to 922 of the family's 1533-position model. The record is from RNAcentral.